Molecule: ribosomal RNA, 458 nt
Filed under: uncultured bacterium
Lineage: Bacteria
Description: partial 16S ribosomal RNA
Rfam family: Bacterial small subunit ribosomal RNA
Source: RNAcentral
CCUACGGGGGGCAGCAGUGGGGAAUAUUGCACAAUGGGGGAAACCCUGAUGCAGCGACGCCGCGUGAGUGAAGAAGUAAUUCGUUACGUAAAGCUCUAUCAGCAGGGAAGAAACACUGACCUUACGGUCAGCAGACGGUACCUGAGUAAGAAGCCCCGGCUAACUACGUGCCAGCAGCCGCGGUAAUACGUAGGGGGCAAGCGUUAUCCGGAUUUACUGGGUGUAAAGGGAGCGUAGAGGUUGCGCCAAGUCUGGAGUGAAAUGCCGCAGCUUAACUGCGGAACUGCUUUGGAAACUGGCGAACUAGAGUGCGGGAGGGGUAAGCGGAAUUCCUAGUGUAGCGGUGAAAUGCGUAGAUAUUAGGAGGAACACCGGUGGCGAAGGCGGCUUACUGGACCGUAACUGACGUUGAGGCUCGAAAGCGUGGGGAGCAAACAGGAUUAGAUACCCGGGUAGUC